This 766-nucleotide ribosomal RNA is filed under the name Staphylococcus aureus. Its description in RNAcentral is "partial 23S ribosomal RNA". It matches the Rfam family "Bacterial large subunit ribosomal RNA", at positions 49 to 812 of the family's 2925-position model. Lineage: Bacteria; Bacillati; Bacillota; Bacilli; Caryophanales; Staphylococcaceae. The record is from RNAcentral.
AUGAAGGACGUUACUAACGACGAUAUGCUUUGGGGAGCUGUAAGUAAGCUUUGAUCCAGAGAUUUCCGAAUGGGGAAACCCAGCAUGAGUUAUGUCAUGUUAUCGAUAUGUGAAUACAUAGCAUAUCAGAAGGCACACCCGGAGAACUGAAACAUCUUAGUACCCGGAGGAAGAGAAAGAAAAUUCGAUUCCCUUAGUAGCGGCGAGCGAAACGGGAAGAGCCCAAACCAACAAGCUUGCUUGUUGGGGUUGUAGGACACUCUAUACGGAGUUACAAAGGACGACAUUAGACGAAUCAUCUGGAAAGAUGAAUCAAAGAAGGUAAUAAUCCUGUAGUCGAAAAUGUUGUCUCUCUUGAGUGGAUCCUGAGUACGACGGAGCACGUGAAAUUCCGUCGGAAUCUGGGAGGACCAUCUCCUAAGGCUAAAUACUCUCUAGUGACCGAUAGUGAACCAGUACCGUGAGGGAAAGGUGAAAAGCACCCCGGAAGGAGAGUGAAAUAGAACCUGAAACCGUGUGCUUACAAGUAGUCAGAGCCCGUUAAUGGGUGAUGGCGUGCCUUUUGUAGAAUGAACCGGCGAGUUACGAUUUGAUGCAAGGUUAAGCAGUAAAUGUGGAGCCGUAGCGAAAGCGAGUCUGAAUAGGGCGUUUAGUAUUUGGUCGUAGACCCGAAACCAGGUGAUCUACCCUUGGUCAGGUUGAAGUUCAGGUAACACUGAAUGGAGGACCGAACCGACUUACGUUGAAAAGUGAGCGGAUGAACUGA